GACGAACGCUGGCGGCGUGCUUAACACAUGCAAGUCGAACGGAAAGGCCCUGCUUUUGUGGGGUGCUCGAGUGGCGAACGGGUGAGUAACACGUGAGUAACCUGCCCUUGACUUUGGGAUAACUUCAGGAAACUGGGGCUAAUACAGGAUAGGAGCUCCUGCUGCAGGGUGGGGGUUGGAAAGUUUCGGCGGUUGGGGAUGGACUCGCGGCUUAUCAGCUUGUUGGUGGGGUAGUGGCUUACCCAGGCUUUGACGGGUAGCCGGCCUGAGAGGGUGACCGGCCACACUGGGACUGAGGUGCGGCCCAGACUGCUACGGGUGGCAGCAGUGGGGAAUAUUGCACAAUGGGCGGAGGCCUGAUGCAGCAACGCCGCGUGCGGGAUGACCGCCUUCUGGUUGUAGACCGCUUUCGCCUGUGACGAAGCGUGAGUUACGGUAAUGGGUAAAGAAGCACCGGCUAACUACGUU
Molecule: ribosomal RNA, 468 nt
Filed under: uncultured bacterium
Lineage: Bacteria
Description: partial 16S ribosomal RNA
Rfam family: Bacterial small subunit ribosomal RNA
Source: RNAcentral